GAAGGUCUUUCCACUACCAUUCCUAUUGUCAGUGUGCAGACACUGGGGCUCGUGGGCAGGUGUGCAGACACACACAGGGGCUCGUAGGGCAGGUGUGCAGACACACACAGGGGCUCAUGGGGCAGGUGUGCAGACACAACAGGAGCUCAUGGGGCAGGUGUGCAGACACAACAGGAGCUCAUGGGGCAGGUGUGCAGACACAACAGGAGCUCAUGGGGCAGGUGUGCAGACACAACAGGAGCUCAUGGGGCAGAUGUGCAGAUACAGACAGGGGCUCGUGGGCAGAUGUGCAGACACACACAGGGGCUCAUGGGGCAGGUGUGCAGACACACACAGGGGCUCAUGGGGCAGGUGUGCAGACACACACAGGGGCUCAUGGGGCAGGUGUGCAGACACACACAGGGGCUCAUGGGGCAGGUGUGCAGACACAACAGGAGCUCAUGGGGCAGGUGUGCAGACACAACAGGAGCUCAUGGGGCAGGUAUACAGAUACACACAGGGGCUCGUGGGCAGGUGUGCAGAUACACACAGGGGCUCAUGGGGCAGGUGUGCAGACACACACAGGGGCUCAUGGGGCAGGUGUGCAGACACACACAGGGGCUCAUGGGGCAGGUGUGCAGACACACACAGGGGCUCAUGGGGCAGGUGUGCAGAUACACACAGGGGCUCGUGGGCAGGUGUGCAGAUACACACAGGGGCUCAUGGGGCAGGUGUGCAGACACACACAGGGGCUCAUGGGGCAGGUGUGCAGACACACAGGGGCUCAUGGGGCAGGUGUGCAGACACACACAGGGGUUCAUGGGGCAGGUGUGCAGAUACACACAGGGGUUCAUGGAGCAGGUAUGCAGAUACACACAGGGGUUCAUGGGGCAGGUGUGCAGACACACACAGGGGCUCGUGGGCAGGUGUGCAGAUACACACAGGGGCUCAUGGGGCAGGUGUGUAGAUACACACAGGGG
This is a long non-coding RNA of Apodemus sylvaticus (European woodmouse), 959 nucleotides long. RefSeq lists it as uncharacterized. The record is from RefSeq and is a predicted model, not a curated record. NCBI's taxonomy places the organism in Eukaryota, Metazoa, Chordata, Mammalia, Rodentia, Muridae. The transcript has 4 exons.